Melospiza melodia melodia is the source of this 1173-nucleotide long non-coding RNA. RefSeq lists it as uncharacterized. The transcript has 7 exons. Lineage: Eukaryota; Metazoa; Chordata; Aves; Passeriformes; Passerellidae. The record is from RefSeq and is a predicted model, not a curated record.
UGGCGGAGGCGCCGGAGGAGCCCCCGAGCUGCAGCCGUCUCCCUCGGGCUGCUGCCGGUGCUGCGGGCGGAGGCGGCUCCGCCGCGUGUUGGGCGCUGCGAGCAGGGAGCGCUGCGGUAUCGCCGGCAUGACGGGGCUGCUGCCUGCGUUAGUGCCCGUGGCUCUUUGUGCCGUGACAGCGGAUGGAGCGGCGCUGGGCGGUAAAGCCAGAGAUGGCCGGGAGAAUGCCCAGCGCAGGGAGCGGGCGGGCUGUAUGCUUCGGAUGGCACAGGAUACUCAGAAAAUAUGUCUCCCUUAGAGUCCCACAGAAACGUUCUCAGUGUGAUCUCUAUCAAGUGCUAUGAGUCUUGAUCAAUUGGAGAAGAGCCCAAGAGAAAUUUUUCAUCCCUUGAUAUAAAAGGGAUCGGUGAAUUUUAACUUUGGAGUCCCCUAUGCUAAGGAUGCUCAGCUUACAGGUGAUGAAAUGUUCAGUAAUGUAUUUGCUGCAGCUCUGCUUACCCAAGCUUUGGGUUCCUUCUGUCCCACUGGGAGUUGCCCAAUUUGGUUGCAUCUGGUGAAAUUCACCCUGAGACCUUACAGAACCAGCUCCAACUACGUGAGAGCCAUUUGCAGUUCUCUCCAGACGCCUGGAGAAUGGGCGACGUUUCUGAGGAUCCGGCGAGCGUGCUUCUGUCAAAACUCAGUCUGUGAAAUUCCUGGGGAAAACCCUUCUGUGUCCUGAAGGGUUCAAACUCUGGUGAGGAUCCAGUUAUCAGGUGCUCACCUGGAUGGUUCCAGCUCCCAAAGGGAAAGACUCUCGUAUCCUUGUCGUCAGGCUCGGUGCUGUCCAAGAAGAUACGGGGACUAAAAAAAUCAUAAGAAGCAAAAUACGACUGCAGGGAAAAGAAGCUGGAGAGAACAGAAGAAAUGGAAUUGGGACGACGCCUCGGCCAGCCCCUCUCUGCCAUCGUCUCCUGAAUCUGCAGCAGAGCAGUUCCAGUCCAUCCGGGCAUGUGUAAUCCAGUUCCUGAUGAUCUGAGCACACGGAGCAGCGCUCAGCUGCUGUGGGGGGAUCAGGGAGGGCAGAGUGUGCAUUGUCAUCUUCCUGAACCUACAGACAAAUCAAAGUGAGAAGCCACAGCGUGGAAAUCAGUCACAUAUAUGCUAAAUAAAACUUGCAGAUUUUUUUAAGAA